RNAcentral lists this transfer RNA (73 nucleotides) under Thermoflavimicrobium dichotomicum. It matches the Rfam family "tRNA". From Rfam's summary of the family: Transfer RNA (tRNA) molecules are approximately 80 nucleotides in length. Their secondary structure includes four short double-helical elements and three loops (D, anti-codon, and T loops). Lineage: Bacteria; Bacillati; Bacillota; Bacilli; Caryophanales; Thermoactinomycetaceae. The record is from Rfam by way of RNAcentral.
GCUGGUGUAGCUCAAUGGGUAGAGCAACUGACUUGUAAUCAGUAGGUUGGGGGUUCAAGUCCUCUCACCAGCA